CUUUUCUUCUAACAAGUCAAGGUUGGCCUUGAGAUCCUGUGGGUUGCGCCAUUCGUCGAAUGCCAUGACUCGUGCUGACGGAAGCUUGAGUUCUAUUGGGAUCACGGCCUCUGUCCCGAAAGCUAAAGCAAAGGAGGUCUCCCCUGUGGGCAAUCUCUAAGUAGUCUGGUAUGCCCACAAUACAUGAUAGAGCUCAUCAGCCCAAG
This 206-nucleotide long non-coding RNA is filed under the name Elaeis guineensis (African oil palm). RNAcentral describes it as "long non-coding RNA (EGUI_LNC057064)". Lineage: Eukaryota; Viridiplantae; Streptophyta; Magnoliopsida; Arecales; Arecaceae. The record is from RNAcentral.